GACGAACGCUGGCGGCGUGCUUAACACAUGCAAGUCGAGCGGGGUCCAUCCGGUAGCAAUACCGGUGAAGACCUAGCGGCGAACGGGUGAGUAACACGUGAGCAACCUGCCCCGAAGUUUGGGAUAACACCGGGAAACCGGUGCUAAUACCAAAUGCCUUCACCGAGUCACCUGGCUUGGUGAAGAAAGAUUUAUCGCUUCGGGAGGGGCUCGCGGCCUAUCAGCUUGUUGGUGGGGUAACGGCCCACCAAGGCUUCGACGGGUAGCUGGUCUGAGAGGACGACCAGCCACACUGGGACUGAGACACGGCCCAGACUCCUACGGGAGGCAGCAGUGGGGAAUCUUGCGCAAUGGGCGAAAGCCUGACGCAGCAACGCCGCGUGGGGAUGAAUGCCUUCGGGUUGUAAA
This 408-nucleotide ribosomal RNA is filed under the name uncultured bacterium. Its description in RNAcentral is "bacterial SSU rRNA". It matches the Rfam family "Bacterial small subunit ribosomal RNA", at positions 28 to 429 of the family's 1533-position model. The record is from RNAcentral.